UACGAACGCUGGCGGCGUGCUUAACACAUGCAAGUCGAACGGAAAGGCCCUGUUUUUUGGUGGUGCUCGACUGGCGAACGGGUGAGUAACACGUGAGUAACCUGCCCUUGACUUUGGGAUAACUUCAGGAAACUGAGGCUAAUACCGGAUAUGAGCUUCUGCGGCAUGGUGGGGGUUGGAAAGUUUCGGCGGUUGGGGAUGGACUCGCGGCUUAUCAGCUUGUUGGUGGGGUAGUGGCUUACCAAGGGUUUGACGGGUAGCCGGCCUGAGAGGGUGACCGGCCACAUUGGGACUGCGAGAGGGACCAGACUGCUACGGGAGGCAGCAGUGGGGAAUAUUGCACAGUGGGCCGAAGCGUGAUGAAGCAGCGCCGCGUGCGGGAUGACGGCCUUCGCGUAGUGAAACGCUUCCGCCUAUGACGAAGCGUGAGUGACGGUAAUGGAUAAAGAAGCACCGGCUAACUACGUG
RNAcentral lists this ribosomal RNA (468 nucleotides) under uncultured bacterium. RNAcentral describes it as "partial 16S ribosomal RNA". It matches the Rfam family "Bacterial small subunit ribosomal RNA", at positions 29 to 507 of the family's 1533-position model. The record is from RNAcentral.